GCCGGGUUGCGUGAGCGGCCAAAACGAGCGGAUUGUAAAUCCGUCGCCUUCGGGUUACGGAGGUUCGAAUCCUUCACCCGGCA
Molecule: transfer RNA, 83 nt
Filed under: Tsukamurella tyrosinosolvens
Lineage: Bacteria; Bacillati; Actinomycetota; Actinomycetes; Mycobacteriales; Tsukamurellaceae
Description: tRNA_Tyr_GTA
Rfam family: tRNA
About the family: Transfer RNA (tRNA) molecules are approximately 80 nucleotides in length. Their secondary structure includes four short double-helical elements and three loops (D, anti-codon, and T loops). Further hydrogen bonds mediate the characteristic L-shaped molecular structure. tRNAs have two regions of fundamental functional importance: the anti-codon, which is responsible for specific mRNA codon recognition, and the 3' end, to which the tRNAs corresponding amino acid is attached (by aminoacyl-tRNA synthetases). tRNAs cope with the degeneracy of the genetic code in two manners: having more than one tRNA (with a specific anti-codon) for a particular amino acid; and 'wobble' base-pairing, i.e. permitting non-standard base-pairing at the 3rd anti-codon position.
Source: RNAcentral